RNAcentral lists this ribosomal RNA (253 nucleotides) under uncultured bacterium. RNAcentral's name for it is "partial 16S ribosomal RNA". It matches the Rfam family "Bacterial small subunit ribosomal RNA", at positions 524 to 776 of the family's 1533-position model. The record is from RNAcentral.
UACAGAGGUCUCAAGCGUUGUUCGGAUUCAUUGGGCGUAAAGGGUGCGUAGGCGGCGCGGUAAGUCGGGUGUGAAAUCUCGGAGCUUAACUUCGAAACUGCAUUCGAUACUGCCGUGCUUGAGGACUGGAGAGGAGACUGGAAUUUACGGUGUAGCGGUGGAAUGCGUAGAUAUCGUAAGGAAGACCAGUGGCGAAGGCGGGUCUCUGGACAGUUCCUGACGCUGAGGCACGAAGGUCAGGGGAGCAAACGGG